Molecule: ribosomal RNA, 460 nt
Filed under: uncultured bacterium
Lineage: Bacteria
Description: partial 16S ribosomal RNA
Rfam family: Bacterial small subunit ribosomal RNA
Source: RNAcentral
CCUACGGGUGGCUGCAGUGAGGAAUAUUGGUCAAUGGACGAGAGUCUGAACCAGCCAAGUAGCGUGAAGGAUGACUGCCCUAUGGGUUGUAAACUUCUUUUAUAUGGGAAUAAAAUGUUCCACGUGUGGGAUUUUGUAUGUACCAUAUGAAUAAGGAUCGGCUAACUCCGUGCCAGCAGCCGCGGUAAUACGGAGGAUCCGAGCGUUAUCCGGAUUUAUUGGGUUUAAAGGGAGCGUAGGGGGAUUGUUAAGUCAGUUGUGAAAGUUUGCGGCUCAACCGUAAAAUUGCAGUUGAAACUGGAAGCCUUGAGUACAGUAGAGGUAGGCGGAAUGCGUGGUGUAGCGGUGAAAUGCUUAGAUAUCACGAAGAACUCCGAUUGCGAAGGCAGUUCACUGGACUGCAACUGACACUGAGGCACGAAAGUGUGGGUAUCAAACAGGAUUAGAUACCCGGGUAGUC